Non-coding RNA from Podarcis lilfordi (Lilford's wall lizard), 70 nucleotides. Lineage: Eukaryota; Metazoa; Chordata; Lepidosauria; Squamata; Lacertidae. The record is from the annotation of a GenBank genome assembly.
GGCAUAGCUCAGUGGGUAGAGCAUCUGCUUUGCAUGCAGAGGAUCCCAGGUUCAAUCCCGGGCAUCUCCA